This 372-nucleotide ribosomal RNA is filed under the name uncultured bacterium. Its description in RNAcentral is "bacterial SSU rRNA". It matches the Rfam family "Bacterial small subunit ribosomal RNA", at positions 524 to 898 of the family's 1533-position model. The record is from RNAcentral.
UACGGAGGAUGCAAGCGUUAUCCGGAUUUAUUGGGUUUAAAGGGUGUGCAGGCGGAAUGAUAAGUCAGUGGUGAAAUCCUACGGCUCAACCGUAGAAUUGCCAUUGAUACUGUUAUUCUUGAGUACAGUUGAAGUGGGCGGAAUGUGUCAUGUAGCGGUGAAAUGCAUAGAUAUGACACAGAACACCGAUAGCGAAGGCAGCUCACUAAGCUGUGACUGACGCUCAUGCACGAAAGCGUGGGGAGCAAACAGGAUUAGAUACCCUGGUAGUCCACGCUGUAAACGAUGAUCACUCGCUGUUGGCGAUAUACAGUCAGCGGCUAAGCGAAAGUAUUAAGUGAUCCACCUGGGGAGUACGAUCGCAAGGUUGAA